Molecule: ribosomal RNA, 253 nt
Filed under: uncultured bacterium
Lineage: Bacteria
Description: partial 16S ribosomal RNA
Rfam family: Bacterial small subunit ribosomal RNA
Source: RNAcentral
UACGUAGGCAGCGAGCGUUGUUCGGAGUUACUGGGCGUAAAGGGUGUGUAGGCGGUUGUUUAAGUUUGGUGUGAAAUCUCCCGGCUCAACUGGGAGGGUGCGCCGAAUACUGAAUGACUAGAGUGCGGGAGAGGUGAGUGGAAUUCCUGGUGUAGCGGUGAAAUGCGUAGAUAUCAGGAGGAACACCAAUGGCGAAGGCAGCUCGCUGGGACGGUACUGACGCUGAGGCGCGAAAGCGUGGGGAGCAAACAGG